RNAcentral lists this long non-coding RNA (2617 nucleotides) under Mus musculus (house mouse). RNAcentral's name for it is "long non-coding RNA chr15:34127979-34130596". The record is from RNAcentral. Lineage: Eukaryota; Metazoa; Chordata; Mammalia; Rodentia; Muridae.
GGUAGUAUUUGGAUUUGGGUUAUUAAGCUGUUAAGUAGCUUUUGUUUGAUCACAGUUAAUGAAAAAAUUACUCUCUACUCAGUAAGCAAAAAAUAGCAUAGGAUUUUAUGUAGUCACCACAGAUUUAUGCUUCUGUCAAUGUUUUUACAGAAACUGAACCAGAGAGUGCAGCUAUUUUCCAGGCUUGAAAGCUAUCUAUUCUAUGCCUUUUGAAAAGUAAUUCAUUAAAUAUUAAAUUAGAUUUUUAUUUCUUCCCACACACUCUAUAAUAUUCAUUGAGGAAAUGUGUCAUAUGUUAGUAGUAUGCUGUAUAUUUAGUUGAACUGUACUUGAUAGUCUCUUUUCUGGAAAUCAAUCUUAGAGAUGAGACUAAUGGAUAAAGUUACCAAAAAUAUAUUAGAGGUGGGAUGUAACUAUAAUGGGCAAGGCCCUGGAAUGAAUUCCUAGCAUUUAAAAUAAAGAACAAGUGUAUCUCAUAGACAUUUCUCAGAAAUCCACCGGUUUUAAUUAUAAAUGCCUAAUGUCAUCAUUGAUACUAAAAACAAUAGCUGCCAUUUGUUGAUUUGUUUAUUAUAUUGCUAUGAACUACUGCUUUAAGUGUAUCUUAUAUCAUCUUGUUAGCAUUCCAUGAAGUUUAUUUAGAGCUCCUUAAUAUUAAGAAACUUAGCCAGGGGGCUAUAGAGAUGGCUAAGCAAUUAAGAGCAUAGGUUGUUCUUCUAGAGGACCCAGGUUCAAUUCCCAGCACUCACAUGGCAGCUCACAACUAUCUGUAACUCCAGUUCUAUCAGAUCUAACAUCUUCACACAGACACACAUGCAAGCAAAACACCAGUGCACCUAAACACAAAUCAGGAGGCAGUGUGUGGGAGGACUAAACCAGGCUUGAUGGUGCACUUGAGGCAGACACAGGCAGAUAUCUGAGUUCUAGAACAUCUAGGGCUUCACAGAGAAACCCUGUCUUGAAAAGAAAAGGAGGAAAAAUUAAGCAGUGCUGUGCCACAUUGAUAAAGGUUUAUUAAUGAACAUUUGUUUGACAAUGAGGUCCAUGUUCUUAACCGCUAUAUUAAUACUCCAAAGUACUGACUGAAUAUUCAUCGGCUCAUAAUACAUGAUGAUACAUGUUGAGAUGGAAGAAAAGACUGUCUUUUGUAGCACACUUCACCCUUGUAAUCACUUGUUGCACAUUUUCUUGACAAUAAGCUCUGCUUACUUUGGGACUUCCCACUCUUCUAUUUUCACAGUCCCCUGUGGUAAAAAUAUAUCAUUCUUUUAUUAUGCUUACAUAUCUCCACUGAAUAGUUAGACUGUUAACUCCAUGUGAGAGUGGCUUCUGCACAUGUCUUAAAACUCUUGGACCAACUUAACUCUGGUUCUACUACAUAGUUAGAGCUUACUAACUAUGAGGAGAGGAAAUUGGCAAUCCUGAUAGAAUAUAUUUACUAUUAAUGUGUGUCUUCUUCACAUAAGUUUGGGAACAUACUAUGCAGAAUCUUUUGGUUUUGUUUGUUCGUUUGUUUGUUCGUUUCCCUGUGAGCAUUCUCUCAGAUCAUUCUUUGGUUUUCUCAGAUGUGUAUUAAAGCUUUUGUGAAGAUCUGUGAGUAUCUCUCCUAUGAACAAAAAGUUUACCUGGGAAAAUUAAAAUAGCAAAAAGUAACAAUAAGCAUAAAAUAGGCAUAUGUGCCUCCUUGUUGCUAAAAUGUGUGUUCAAGUCAUGUUUAGCAUUAUUCUUGGAACAGAUCAGUCGAACGGUGUAGAAAUUCCAGAAGCAAUAGAGUGCAUAUGAAAAAACCUGUCUCAAAAAAAAAAAAAAAAAAAAAAAGAAAGAAAAACCUUAGUAUUUGGUAUUAGUAGCAUUAAAAAAUGGUGAGAAAUUGAUAGACUCCUUAUAGUUAAACAAUGCUAGGAAGACUUAUUGACCACUUUGAAGUAAAGUAUAAUCUCUGUCAUCUUAAAUAAAACUUGACUGUAAGUGGAUACUAUAAGAAUGUAUGUGAGAGUGAAUGGUUUGCCGAGAAAGAGGGAAGCGUUAACUUAGCCAAAGAGAAGCAAAGGCUUGUGCUCACCUCUAGCAUAGACCAGUGAUAGUUUCCUAAGUAAAAUGGCAAUGCCUCAAGACUGUGGUGACGAAAACCCUGCAGGUGACUCGGAUGCUUUUUUUUUUUUUUAAUCUAAAAUUUACAAAUAUAAUAUACAAUUUUAACGAUUGAAAGCCAAACACAAAGAUUGCAAAAGAGUUAUCUCUUAAAUAAGUGUUAAUCGUAAAAUUUUAAAAUAGAAAACAUAAUGUCCUAGGCAUGUGUAUUGGAAUGCUCUAGAGGAGCAGAGCCAACUGAAUAAAUAUAUAUUCAUAUAAAAAGGGAUUUACCUGAUUUAUAUCAGAUGGGCUGGGGAAUCCUACAAUGGCUAUCAGCACACUGGAAAGGCUGAGAACCCAGAAGCUGCUUAGUCAUACCACGAGGUGCCUCAGCAGUCCUGGUAUAGCACUGAAGGCCUAGUGGAAUCCUGGAGAGUCACUGGUCUGUAGUCAUAUUGGAAGGCCAAAGGUCGGAUGCUUUUAGAGUCAUCAGAUAAGAGGCAUUUGAAUCAUCUGAAAAUGUUAGGAGGCUAGAAGUAUUAGG